AGCGAACGCUGGCGGCAGGCCUAACACAUGCAAGUCGAACGAACCUUUCGGGGUUAGUGGCGGACGGGUGAGUAACACGUGGGAACGUGCCUUUAGGUUCGGAAUAACUCAGGGAAACUUGUGCUAAUACCGAAUGUGCCCUUUGGGGGAAAGAUCUAUCGCCUUUAGAGCGGCCCGCGUCUGAUUAGCUAGUUGGUUGAGGUAAUGGCUCACCAAGGCGACGAUCAGUAGCUGGUCUGAGAGGAUGAUCAGCCACAUUGGGACUGAGACACGGCCCAAACUCCUACGGGAGGCAGCAGUGGGGAAUCUUGCGCAAUGGGCGAAAGCCUGACGCAGCCAUGCCGCGUGAAUGAUGAAGGUCUUAGGAUUGUAAAAUUCUUUCACCGGGGACGAUAAUGACGGUACCCGGAGAAGAAGCCCCGGCUAACUUCGUG
This 434-nucleotide ribosomal RNA is filed under the name uncultured bacterium. RNAcentral's name for it is "partial 16S ribosomal RNA". It matches the Rfam family "Bacterial small subunit ribosomal RNA", at positions 29 to 507 of the family's 1533-position model. The record is from RNAcentral.